AGCGUAGACGGAGUGGCAAGUCUGAUGUGAAAACCCGGGGGCUCAACCCCGGGACUGCAUUGGAAACUGUCAAUCUGGAGUACCGGAGAGGUAAGCGGAAUUCCUAGUGUAGCGGUGAAAUGCGUAGAUAUUAGGAGGAACACCAGUGGCGAAGGCGGCUUACUGGACGGUAACUGACGUUGAGGCUCGAAAGCGUGGGGAGCAAACA
RNAcentral lists this ribosomal RNA (208 nucleotides) under uncultured bacterium. RNAcentral's name for it is "partial 16S ribosomal RNA". It matches the Rfam family "Bacterial small subunit ribosomal RNA", at positions 568 to 774 of the family's 1533-position model. The record is from RNAcentral.